GUGAGGUAAUGGCUCACCAAGGCAUCGACGGGUAGCUGGUCUGAGAGGACGAUCAGCCACACUGGGACUGAGACACGGUCCAGACUCCUACGGGAGGCAGCAGUAGGGAAUCUUGCACAAUGGGCGAAAGCCUGAUGCAGCGACGCCGCGUGGGGGAUGAAGGCCUUCGGGUUGUAAACCCCUUUCAGUAGGGACGAAAAUGACGGUACCUACAGAAGAAGCUCCGGCCAACUACGUGCCAGCAGCCGCGGUAACACGUAGGGAGCAAGCGUUGUCCGGAUUUAUUGGGCGUAAAGAGCUCGUAGGUGGUUCGGUAAGUCGGAUGUGAAAACCCAAGGCUCAGCCUUGAGACGCCAUCCGAUACUGCUGUGACUUGAGUUCGGUAGAGGAGUGUGGAAUUCCUGGUGUAGCGGUGAAAUGCGCAGAUAUCAGGAGGAACACCGACAGCGAAGGCAGCACUCUGGGCCGAUACUGACACUGAGGAGCGAAAGCAUGGGGAGCAAACAGGAUUAGAUACCCUGGUAGUCCAUGCCGUAAACGUUGGGCACUAGGUGUGGGGAUUUAUCAACGAUCUCCGCGCCGUCGCUAACGCAUUAAGUG
RNAcentral lists this ribosomal RNA (600 nucleotides) under uncultured Actinomycetes bacterium. RNAcentral describes it as "bacterial SSU rRNA". It matches the Rfam family "Bacterial small subunit ribosomal RNA", at positions 252 to 866 of the family's 1533-position model. The record is from RNAcentral. Lineage: Bacteria; Bacillati; Actinomycetota; Actinomycetes.